UUCUUUGAUAAUUAGAUAAAUGAACCAUAUGAUAGACAAGAAGACAAUCUUGUAUGGGGAUAUCUUAUGCUUAUUAUUUAAUAGUGCGAACUUUUAAAGGAUUGAGUUGGUUUAGUAGUAAUACUAAACUAGGAAUUACAAAGUAAUAAAAAAGAUAUUAGCAAUACUAUUAUAGGGUUAUAAGGCACAGUCCUAAUCGUAGUCAUCAUAAACUUUCUUCGUAGAAAAGAAGAAGAUUAACUUUAAAAUUUAUUAGAGUGGCAUCUAAAGAAUUUUAAAGAAUGCCAAUAAGCUAUUUGCAGUUGACACAUAGUGAUAUGUUAUAAGAUUAGAAACUGGUUAAAGUAGUGCAAAUCUGCAAGAAAAUAGAUGGUUGUCGCGGUUCGAUUCCGUAAAAUAUAUGCUUUAAUAUAUUCCUAAGUGCAUGAAAUUUGGAAGUGCAAGUCUUCUUUAGUGGUUGUAGGUAAUUGAAGAAUAGAGGUCGCUCCUCUAUGAGGGCAAUUACUGGCUAGUGGCUGAAAGAAAAAAUAAUUUUGUAAUAGUUAUUAAUGUGAGAAACAUCAUUUAUCUAAUUAUCAAA
RNAcentral lists this small RNA (580 nucleotides) under Mycoplasma sp. CAG:776. RNAcentral describes it as "ROOL RNA". It matches the Rfam family "ROOL RNA". From Rfam's summary of the family: Firmicutes, Fusobacteria (1 example), Tenericutes (1 example). Lineage: Bacteria; Bacillati; Mycoplasmatota; Mollicutes; Mycoplasmatales; Mycoplasmataceae. The record is from Rfam by way of RNAcentral.